Molecule: ribosomal RNA, 508 nt
Filed under: uncultured bacterium
Lineage: Bacteria
Description: partial 16S ribosomal RNA
Rfam family: Bacterial small subunit ribosomal RNA
Source: RNAcentral
AUUGAACGCUGGCGGCAUGCCUUACACAUGCAAGUCGAACGGCAGCGGGGGAGAAGCUUGCUUUUCCUGCCGGCGAGUGGCGAACGGGUGAGUAAUACAUCGGAACGUGCCCUGUAGUGGGGGAUAACUAGUCGAAAGAUUAGCUAAUACCGCAUACGACCUGAGGGUGAAAGUGGGGGACCGCAAGGCCUCAUGCUAUAGGAGCGGCCGAUGUCUGAUUAGCUAGUUGGUGGGGUAAAGGCCUACCAAGGCGACGAUCAGUAGCUGGUCUGAGAGGACGAUCAGCCACGCUGGGACUGAGACACGGCCCAGACUCCUACGGGAGGCAGCAGUGGGGAGUUUUGGCCAAUGGGCGAAAGCCUGAUCCAGCAAUGCCGCGUGUGUGAAGAAGGCCUUCGGGUUGUAAAGCACUUUUGUCCGGAAAGAAAUGGCUCUGGUUAAUACCUGGGGUCGAUGACGGUACCGGAAGAGUAAGGACCGGCUAACUACGUGCCAGCAGCCGCCGCCG